Molecule: long non-coding RNA, 1108 nt
Organism: Haplochromis burtoni (Burton's mouthbrooder)
Lineage: Eukaryota; Metazoa; Chordata; Actinopteri; Cichliformes; Cichlidae
Exons: 3
Source: RefSeq, a predicted model, not a curated record
AUUCCUUUGUUUUGCCCUUGUCAGGAACCCCUGCAAGAGCAAGAGGGAGACGUGUUCAAAUUCUGGCCUCUGCACUGCUGAGCUCUCUGGCUCGAGUAUUGCUUAUUGAGGAGGAUUCGAUGCAAGUUAUAUACCUGCUGGACCUUGAGCGCCUGGCGGUCCUUGUGGCCCAGGAGGUCCUGGAGGCCCUGCAGGUCCCACAACAUUGCUUCCUGGAAUACCUGGGAUUCCAGGGAUACCCGGUGGCCCCUGUGGACCUGGGGGACCAGGAGGGCCAGGUGGUCCUGGCACAGGCCUUUUUUUCACUGUGGAGAAAGAUGGAAUAAACGUUGAUUCUGAAAGAAACCGAAGCAGCGUGAUUAAGCUUCAAAUGCCCUCUUCAACAAUUAUCAUCUCAAAUGACACAUCGAGCAUCCAGAUCAUUCCAUGUAGGUAUCCUAAAUAGGCUGAAAUAACAGAUUGAGAUGGUGUGCACUGAACACUAGAGUGGAGGUAUGUCAGUCUGUGGUAUCUUGUAGUGUAGUAAUUUGUAAGUGUGGUUUCACCUCCUCUGUAUGAACAAGUGCCUUAAGCAUUCACAGGCAGUGGAACUGGAGAAGAUCAUUAGAGAGAUACUUUAUCCUGCCAAAAUCCUUUUCUUUGAAUUAAGCCCAGAUGGAGAAUGCAGAUGAAAGUGUGUGUGUGCAUGUGUGUUUGCGUGUCUCCUCCUUUACAACCAUGUGUAUGGAUGUGCAUGCACGGAUGUUGGUGGGGCAUCUAUGUCAGUGCUUGAAAGCACUCUCAGUGUUUGCAUCUGCAAGAGGGUGUGUGCGCGCACACGUAUAUGUGCCGCGCACAGCUGAAGAAUCCUUUUCAAAAAGCUGUCUCGGUUGCUCUUGUGUUUACCAUGUCAUUAUAACUACAAAGGCCAUUUAACCUUAAACCCUCACAGUUUGAGUCCCCCCUCAAACAUAUGGCCAGUGUUUCUCCUCUGGCUAAAUGACUGGAUGCAUCCGCAUAGAUUUCUCUUAACGAGCAGCCCUAUCUGGAAUCUGGUGCCCGUUAGGAGUGCCGAGGACGCACACACGUGCGCACAUGUGCAAACACAGGACACACACACACACACACA